AUACGGAAGGUCCGGGCGUUAUCCGGAUUUAUUGGGUUUAAAGGGAGCGCAGGCGGAGAUGCAAGCGUGACGUCAAAUUUCGGGGCUCAACCCCGUCUCGCGUCGCGAACUGCGUCCCUUGGUUGCGGGAAGGGGAGGCGGAACUCGUGGUGUAGCGGUGAAAUGCAUAGAUAUCAUGAAGAACUCCGAUCGCGAAGGCAGCCUUCCGGCCCGUCAACGACGCUCAUGCUCGAAGGUGCGGGUAUCAAACAGGAUUAGAUACCCUGGUAGUCCGCACAGUAAACGAUGGACACCCGCGGUUUGGCCUGUAUGGCUGAGCCGCCAAGCGAAAGCGUUAAGUGUCCCACCUGGGGAGUACGCCGGCAACGGUGAAACUCAAAUGAAUUGACGGGG
This 393-nucleotide ribosomal RNA is filed under the name uncultured bacterium. Its description in RNAcentral is "partial 16S ribosomal RNA". It matches the Rfam family "Bacterial small subunit ribosomal RNA", at positions 523 to 918 of the family's 1533-position model. The record is from RNAcentral.